Molecule: transfer RNA, 65 nt
Filed under: Dyscophus insularis (Antsouhy tomato frog)
Lineage: Eukaryota; Metazoa; Chordata; Amphibia; Anura; Microhylidae
Description: tRNA-Cys
Source: RNAcentral
AGGUCCUGUAGUGUCUUCACGUGGGAGUGCAAAUCCCAAGAAGCGGGUAAUACCGCCGGGGCUUC